Molecule: ribosomal RNA, 279 nt
Filed under: uncultured bacterium
Lineage: Bacteria
Description: partial 16S ribosomal RNA
Rfam family: Bacterial small subunit ribosomal RNA
Source: RNAcentral
UGCCAGCCGCCGCGGUAAUACGAGGGGUGCUAGCGUUGUCCGGAAUCAUUGGGCGUAAAGGGUCCGUAGGCGGUUUAACAAGUCAAUUGUUAAAGACAUCGUCUUAACCGAUGGAGUGCAGUUGAAACUGUUAGAAUAGAGUUUAGGAGAGGAAAGUGGAAUUUCUGGUGUAGCGGUGACAUGCGUAGAUAUUUGGAGGAACACCAGUGGCGAAGGCGGCUCACUGGCUCGAUACUGACGCUGAGGUACGAAAGUGUGGGGAGCAAACAGGAUUAGAUA